AUUGAACGCUGGCGGCAGGCCUAACACAUGCAAGUCGAACGAGUGGCGGACGGGUGAGUAAUGUCUGGGAAACUGCCUGAUGGAGGGGGAUAACUACUGGAAACGGUAGCUAAUACCGCAUACCAUCAGAUGUGCCCAGAUGGGAUUAGCUUGUUGGUGGGGUAACGGGUCACCAAGGCGACGAUCCCUAGCUGGUCUGAGAGGAUGACCAGCAACACUGGAACUGAUACACGGUUCAGACGCCGAAGGGAGGCAGCAGUGGGGAAUAUUGUACAAGGGGCGCAAGCCUGAUGCAGCCAUGCCGCGUGUAUGAAGAAGGCCUUCGGGUUGUAAAGUACUUUCGGCUGGGAGGCGUGACCCGCAGAAGAAGCACCGGCUAACUCCGUGCCAGGAGGCGCGGUAAUAC
This 406-nucleotide ribosomal RNA is filed under the name uncultured bacterium. RNAcentral's name for it is "partial 16S ribosomal RNA". It matches the Rfam family "Bacterial small subunit ribosomal RNA", at positions 30 to 526 of the family's 1533-position model. The record is from RNAcentral.